AAUAGAGAGAGAGUGAGAAAGAGCGAGAGCUUGGGGGGGCAGUCUCUGGAUUGGUGUUCUGGGCAAUUUCAACUUCAGGGCAACUUUUGAGAACUUCAGUUAUUUUUGGUUCUGACAUACAGCUGAGACCAGGGGAGCCUGAGGUUGAGGCUGAUGCAGAAGAAGACGAUUCUGUCAAUGAAGUGACAAUAGAAAACAUACGGCCAAGGCCACAAGGAUCCUCUCCAGUUUAUGAGUAUUCCAUAGAAGAAGAAUAUUUUAACAAAAAGCUACAAGAAGAUACAGAGAAUGAAAAAU
This 297-nucleotide long non-coding RNA is filed under the name Gopherus agassizii (Agassiz's desert tortoise). Its description in RNAcentral is "lncRNA (ENSGAGG00000007415.1)". Lineage: Eukaryota; Metazoa; Chordata; Testudines; Testudinidae. The record is from RNAcentral.